AUGCUAUUGUCACUCAGUUGCUUAUUUGGUAAUAGUGUGCUCCUCCUUCAUAUUUCAGUCUGACAGUGGAGGAGCCUUUAAAGGUUUUAAAGGUUUGGUGGUACCUUCUGGAGGAGGACGGUUUCCUGGAUUUGGUAGUGGCGCUGGAGGGAAGCCUUUGGAAGGACUGUCGAAUGGAAACAACAUAACCAGUGCCCCUCCCUUCACCAGUGCAAAGGCAGCGGCAGAGCCCAAGGUAGCCUUUGGUUCUCUUCCUGCAAAUGGCCCUACCGCCUUGGUUGAUAAAGUUUCAAAUCCCAAAACUAAUGGGGACAGUCAGCAGCCCUCCUCCUCUGGCCUUGCUUCCAGUAAAGCUUGUGUCGGAAGUGCCUAUCACAAGCAGUUGGCCGCCUUGAACUGCUCCGUGCGGGAUUGGAUAGUGAAGCACGUGAAUACAAACCCCCUCUGUGAUCUGACACCUAUCUUUAAAGACUAU
RNAcentral lists this small RNA (475 nucleotides) under Pongo abelii (Sumatran orangutan). RNAcentral describes it as "processed transcript". Lineage: Eukaryota; Metazoa; Chordata; Mammalia; Primates; Hominidae. The record is from RNAcentral.